RNAcentral lists this ribosomal RNA (306 nucleotides) under uncultured bacterium. RNAcentral's name for it is "bacterial SSU rRNA". It matches the Rfam family "Bacterial small subunit ribosomal RNA", at positions 28 to 334 of the family's 1533-position model. The record is from RNAcentral.
GACGAACGCUGGCGGCGUGCCUAACACAUGCAAGUCGAACGGGGCAGCCCCUUCGGGGACUGCUUAGUGGCGAACGGGUGAGUAACGCGUGAGGAACCUGCCUUUCAGUGGGGGACAACAGUUGGAAACGACUGCUAAUACCGCAUAACAUCUUCGGGGGGCAUCCCCUGAAGAUCAAAGCUUUAUGUGCUGAAAGAUGGCCUCGCGUCUGAUUAGCUAGUUGGUGAGGUAACGGCCCACCAAGGCGACGAUCAGUAGCCGGUCUGAGAGGAUGAACGGCCACAUUGGGACUGAGAUACGGCCCAG